CACCAGCAUGAGAAAAAGUGAUCCACAUGCCAUUAUGCAUUGAUUGAUGAAAUUUAUGGCCAUGUUGAUAAUUGUUGAUCAAGAUAUCAAGCACCAAGAGGAGCCUCUGCUACUGUUACAGUUGAGGGGAGGAAGAAGGCAAUUCAAACAACAGAGAAGCAGCUGGUCUCAGCUCAGUCAGUGGAAGAAAUGAGGUUGCUGCUAAGUGUGAGAGGUUCCCUCCCUGAAGUGGAAUUUCCCAUCCUGUGCUCUCUCUCGGCCGCCCACGUGCUGACAGCUGAUCUUCACUCACUGCGGACUCAACUGUCUCAUGAAUUAUCAAAGGGAAGAUGGUAAUUGAAACCUGCACUUGAGGAUGCCAUAAGGGGGAUGAUGAUGCCAGUAGGCUUGGAAAGAGUGGCUGUCACCCUGAAGGACACCAGGGCUUGAAGGCUUCUUUGUGUGUUAGGAUCUCCUCCAGCACACACACAAACACACACACAGCCCUCCAUCUCUGAUCACUGCCUGAGCAUACAAGCUCUGGUGCAGGAGCUGCAGCUAUAAUCUCAUUCCCUGAUGGUCUCCAAACAUGAUGCACCUCACUGACACAAAAUGUGACCUGGGCCUUCUUGCCACCUUGGCCCUCUGGGGCUGGAACUGGGGUGAUGGAGUGCAACAACAACAACAACAACAACAACAACAACAAAACAAAGGCUUGUCCUGAUUUGCAAGGCAAAGCUGCUCCUGCCACCUUAAACCAAAUCCUCGUUGGGAUGCUGCACAGCAAGUCCAGAGUUUCUCUCCUAUAAUUGCUCCCCAAAGUAUUUGCACCCUGUCCUUGACAUUCAUGUGCUGCAAAGCAUUUGGGGAGCCCUUGAAGUCAGAGCACUUGACAAAUCACAGGAUGAUUUUGGGAAUCCCCCAAAAAUCAUCCUGUUCUCUUUGCUUCCCAGAAGUACGACCGCACCGGGAGCUAGUGGGAAGCUAGCUUCUAUAGUUCAGGCCGACCUCUCUCUCUCUUUCUGUCCUGCCAAGCCUUUCCAAUAACAAGUGCCGGCCCUGGAGACAAUCUGCACCACCUGGGCACUUGCGCAAGCUAAGCCAGACUUUGUUUAAACAAUCACACUCUGUACUUCCACCCACAGACUCAUGGUGCUUAACACUGGCAGACUCAGAAGAAGCAGUUAUGUAACUGGCAUUCUCCAAACAGAAGAGCUCCAAGAAAGAAGGAACGGCAGGACAAGGAGCAGAGAAAGGGAAACAACACCGGCUCUCACAAUAGCCAUUCCAUCAAGGCAUUCAACCCUCUCCAAGACCUAUUUGAGUGGGGCAGACCACUCUCCCCAUUUUAAAUUCUUGAGUGAUUAUGUAAUGGUAUUUAAAAGAAAACACUUCUCCGCCUGCACU
Molecule: long non-coding RNA, 1386 nt
Organism: Sceloporus undulatus (fence lizard)
Lineage: Eukaryota; Metazoa; Chordata; Lepidosauria; Squamata; Phrynosomatidae
Exons: 3
Source: RefSeq, a predicted model, not a curated record